This is a long non-coding RNA of Etheostoma spectabile (orangethroat darter), 112 nucleotides long. RefSeq lists it as uncharacterized. Lineage: Eukaryota; Metazoa; Chordata; Actinopteri; Perciformes; Percidae. The record is from RefSeq and is a predicted model, not a curated record. The transcript has 3 exons.
UGUGAAAGCUUUUAGCCAGAGGCGGACUUACCCAUUAGGCAAAGGUCGGCAAUUGCCUUGGGCCCCGAGCUACCAGGGGCCCCGUAAAACGCCUCAUAGACUUAUGGUUACG